GCUGGAAGCAGCCAUUGUUGGGUGUCCAACUGACAAGCAUUAAACUCUUCUAAGAUGUGGGUUGUCACAGAUGCAGCCGAUGUGUCUUUUAUAACUUGAA
Long non-coding RNA from Gopherus evgoodei (Goodes thornscrub tortoise), 100 nucleotides. RefSeq lists it as uncharacterized. The record is from RefSeq and is a predicted model, not a curated record. The transcript has 3 exons. Lineage: Eukaryota; Metazoa; Chordata; Testudines; Testudinidae.